CUUUCUGUCCUCUAUAGCUACAACACUUAGACUCCACCCUGUGCUUGGUAGACAUCAUCACUAUUCUCCAGUAUUUAACAUUUCCCCCGCCAGGCACAUGGAAGACAAAUCUCUUGGUGAGUGGGCCCUGGAAUUCUCUACAGCCAAAAGGAAAAGUAUGAUGGUAAAAUGUCUAUGUGCCGGAGAUAUAACUCAGUAGCACACAUGCCUGCCUGGCAAACACAAGAUGCACUUCUGGCAGUGUGAGAUAAAGCAAUGGUCCUAUAAUCAGGGUUCUAAGAGGUGGGCCUGUGGAGACGUGAUCAUGGCACUACAGGUCUACCUUCACGGCUGCACACAGAAUGGUUUCCACCACCCCAGGCUCUUCUACUCGUCUGUCAUUUGAGAGCACCUAAAUGAUACCGUCCCUGAAUAAAAGACUUU
Long non-coding RNA from Cavia porcellus (domestic guinea pig), 423 nucleotides. RefSeq lists it as uncharacterized. The record is from RefSeq and is a predicted model, not a curated record. The transcript is spliced from 3 exons. NCBI's taxonomy places the organism in Eukaryota, Metazoa, Chordata, Mammalia, Rodentia, Caviidae.